AAAUACAGCUGAGCGCCUCUAUUGACAGAUGGAUGCCUUCUUAAUCACAGCCUGUGAUACCCACACGACUAGGAGGAGGCAGAAAGUGAACAGGGAGCUCUUAUUACUUUUUGUGUGUCAGCAAGUUAAGAUAUCAUCUCCAGAAAACUGUACUAGUUGGCAUCCAGCAGUGCCCAAGUAUUAUUUAAUCCAUUAGAACCUGUGACUGCAUCACCUUUAUAUCCUGGACCUCAGCCUGGAACAAAGGAGAGCUACACUUGGAUACUAAACAAAAGUGGUCUGGAUAGAUUAUGCUGGGAAAAGAAGCCUGGAGUGGGCAGUACAGUGGGAGAACAAGUGAAAUCGCUCCUUAUCCUUGGGAGAAAAUGACAAGAAACGACAGCCACGGAAUCUUCCUCUGGAUAUGGGAACAAAAAUAGCUCUCAGAAUAAAUAGUGGCCACACCGAGGUAACUUCUUCAUGAGGUGACUUGGUGACUUCACAAGAUAGGCCCCACCCCACCCAUAUGGGAUGAACACCAUCUGGGCUGACCUCCUCUUUUGGGGUCUGUAAUUACUGUACAAAGAUGCAGGUGCGUCUAUGAAAGCAAACUUUGUCGAGAUCUCAGUGACACAUUCUGCUUUUCCAAAUGACCUCAAUUGGCAGUGUGUAUUAGAAAGAGUCAUGGAAUGUCUCUGGAAAGAUACAUAGGAGACCUAGUGACAUUGGAUCCUUGUGGGUAGGGAGACACUGUGUAAGUGCAUCAAAGAGGCUGACUUUUCGCUGUGCACUCCUUCAGACCACUGGAAAUUCGGAAAUGUAUACGGUGUGCAUGUAUUACCUCCUCAAAACUAGCUAGCUACCUAUCUACCUACCUACCUACCCACCUACCUUCCUACCUAGCUAAUUAAUUAGCUAACUAAGUUAAUAAGGUGUUAAAAAAAAAAAAAAGAAAAGCCAAAUAACUGGAAACACUUAGAUCUUCCUCUGUUGCUGUUUAGCCGACUGUUCAAUUUAACCCUUAAAUAAGUUAUUUCCUCUGAGUUUUUUUUUUUUCUUCCACAGAAACUCUGCACCUAAGAAACACUGGUUUCCUUGUUCUUCCCCAAACAUGCCAGGCACAUCCCAGCCUCAGCUUCUUUGCAAAAACAAUUUCCAAUGCCUGGAAAAAUCUUGUUUUUGUUAUCUCCAUGGCUUGCAUUUUACUUAGUUUAAGUCUUGACUCAAAUAUCACUUUCUCAAUAAGGCCUACCUUGACUGUCCUAUUUAAAAUUGCAAACUUAACACCCCAGAAUUCCUCAUCCAUUUUAUCUUUCAUAGUAAUGAUCUUAUUUGUUUUUUUUUUUUUGUGAUGGAGUUUUGCUCUUGUCACCCAGUCUGGAGUGCAAUGGCAUGAUCUCGGCUCACCGCAACCUCUGCCCCCAGGUUCAAGCGAUUCUCCUACCUCAGCCUCCUGAGUAGUUGGGAUUACAGGCAUGUGCCACCAGGCCUGGCUAAUUUUGUAUUUUUAGGUGAGAUGGGGUUUCUCCAUGUUGGUCAGGCUGGUCUCAAACUCCCGACCUCAGGUGAUCCACCCGCCUCGGCCUCCCAAAGUGCUGGGAUUACGGGCAAGCCACCGCGCCUGGCCAUAAUGAUCUUCUUUUUAAAGUACUAUAUAGGCAUCUUAGUACUUAACAUCUUUUCGUCUAUAUCAAACUCUAGAACCAAGCUCCAUGAAGGCAAGGAUUUAUCUUCAAAUCUUUUGCUCUCUGUUACUUCCCCCAGCACCUAAGUACUGCUUAGCACUUACAGCUUUUCAAGAAAUAAUUGCUGAGUAAAUAAAAGAACUAAUGAGUUUUGCUUU
This 1822-nucleotide long non-coding RNA is filed under the name Pongo abelii (Sumatran orangutan). RNAcentral's name for it is "lincRNA". The record is from RNAcentral. Lineage: Eukaryota; Metazoa; Chordata; Mammalia; Primates; Hominidae.